RNAcentral lists this ribosomal RNA (545 nucleotides) under Pichia pseudolambica. Its description in RNAcentral is "eukaryotic LSU rRNA". It matches the Rfam family "Eukaryotic large subunit ribosomal RNA", at positions 52 to 625 of the family's 3401-position model. Lineage: Eukaryota; Fungi; Ascomycota; Pichiomycetes; Pichiales; Pichiaceae. The record is from RNAcentral.
GGAGGAAAAGAAACCAACAGGGAUUGCCCCAGUAGCGGCGAGUGAAGCGGCAAGAGCUCAGAUUUGGAAUCGUGUUUCGGCACGAGUUGUAAAUUGCAGGUUGGAGUCUUUGUGGAAGCGUGUGUCCAAGUCCCUUGGAACAGGGCGCCAUUGAGGGUGAGAGCCCCGUGGGAUGCGCGCGGAAGCAACAAGGCCCUUCUGACGAGUCGAGUUGUUUGGGAAUGCAGCUCUAAGCGGGUGGUAAAUUCCAUCUAAGGCUAAAUACUGGCGAGAGACCGAUAGCGAACAAGUACUGUGAAGGAAAGAUGAAAAGCACUUUGAAAAGAGAGUGAAACAGCACGUGAAAUUGUUGAAAGGGAAGGGUAUUGGGCCCGACAUGGGGAUUGCGCAUCUCUGCUCCUUGUGGGCGGGGCGCUGUGCUUUUCCUGGGCCAGCAUCGGUUUUUGCCGCAGGAGAAGGGGUACUGGAAUGUGGCUCCUCGGAGUGUUAUAGCCAGUGCCAGAUGCUGCGUGCGGGGACCGAGGGCUGCGACAUCUUCUCGGAUG